RNAcentral lists this ribosomal RNA (465 nucleotides) under Vreelandella stevensii. RNAcentral describes it as "partial 16S ribosomal RNA". It matches the Rfam family "Bacterial small subunit ribosomal RNA", at positions 338 to 795 of the family's 1533-position model. Lineage: Bacteria; Pseudomonadati; Pseudomonadota; Gammaproteobacteria; Oceanospirillales; Halomonadaceae. The record is from RNAcentral.
CCUACGGGGGGCUGCAGUGGGGAAUAUUGGACAAUGGGGGCAACCCUGAUCCAGCCAUGCCGCGUGUGUGAAGAAGGCCCUCGGGUUGUAAAGCACUUUCAGUGAGGAAGAACGCCUGGUGGUUAAUACCCAUCAGGAAAGACAUCACUCACAGAAGAAGCACCGGCUAACUCCGUGCCAGCAGCCGCGGUAAUACGGAGGGUGCGAGCGUUAAUCGGAAUUACUGGGCGUAAAGCGCGCGUAGGUGGCUUGAUAAGCCGGUUGUGAAAGCCCCGGGCUCAACCUGGGAACGGCAUCCGGAACUGUCAAGCUAGAGUGCAGGAGAGGAAGGUAGAAUUCCCGGUGUAGCGGUGAAAUGCGUAGAGAUCGGGAGGAAUACCAGUGGCGAAGGCGGCCUUCUGGACUGACACUGCCACUGAGGUGCGAAAGCGUGGGUAGCAAACAGGAUUAGAUACCCCGGUAGUC